GUGCUCACUUAGGCAGUGCAUAUGCUAAAAUUAGAAAGAUACAGAGAAGAUUAGCAUGGCCCCUGCGCAAGGAUUACAGGCAGAUUCAUGAAGAGUUCCAUAUUUUU
Small nuclear RNA from Rhinolophus ferrumequinum (greater horseshoe bat), 107 nucleotides. NCBI's taxonomy places the organism in Eukaryota, Metazoa, Chordata, Mammalia, Chiroptera, Rhinolophidae. The record is from Ensembl.